Long non-coding RNA from Gossypium raimondii (Peruvian cotton), 2248 nucleotides. RefSeq lists it as uncharacterized. The transcript has 4 exons. NCBI's taxonomy places the organism in Eukaryota, Viridiplantae, Streptophyta, Magnoliopsida, Malvales, Malvaceae. The record is from RefSeq and is a predicted model, not a curated record.
UUUUAAAAAUUUUCAUUUUUCAUCCAUUCAUUUAAAAAAAAUUCUCUAAACUCUCUCUAGCCCCCCUCCCUCUGAUCUUGGCUCCGGCCAAUGGCCACCGUGCCGGACUCCGGUCGCCGGCGUCGGCGCCGCCGCGCACGGUGGCCGGCGAAGGCAAAAAAGCUUAUUUUCUAGAUCUCGACCCCCUGAGCCCGGAUCUAGCCUCAAAACAACCGAAAAUAAAGGGGAAAAAGCCGCUAUUCCUCUCUUCAACCGGUUCCGUCACCGAAGAAGGAGUCUCCGAUGGCGAGAAGACGGAGCGACUCCCAGUGAGUUCCUUUUUCCCUUUUCUUAUUUUUUUUAUGUAAAAGAUAAAAUAAAAUAAGUAAAAUAAAAUAAACAAGCAGAAACGCAUAUAUGAAAAAAAGAAAGUCACCUUCAAAAAUCUAUUUUGUUUUUUUAUUUUCCUUAAUGUUCAUAGCCAAAAUGAAAGAAGAGAAAACUCUUCUUCUUUUACAGUAAACUCGGCUCUUGCCGAAAAGGAAAAAGAAAAAUCAAAGAAAAAUCCCCCCUACAAUCGUUUUGGAGAAAUGGCUUUAUAGCCGAAACUAAAAGGUCCUAUCUGUUUCUUUUUUCUUGUUUCUUCUUUGUUGCUUUUUUUGCUCCGUUUGUCCUUGCUGUUUUCUUGUGUUGCAGGUUCGGGCAAAGUCAACUUGCUGCAUUGGUGCAAGGUCGUACCAGAAGAGCAGACCUCGGGCGGUGGGCGUGCUGACAAUGCACAUGGGAGCAGCGGCGCGAGGCAAGGGCAGGGAACCCUAGGGUUCCCUGUGCUGUUUAAUUUUUGGGCCCCAAUGGGCCGUUUUAGAUUUUGGGCCUUGGGCUAUUAGGUAUUUGUUUUUGUAAUUGGGCCCAGGGUUAAUAUUUUUGGCACUAGGCUCGGGUAAAAUUGGGUCUGUACACCUAUAAGAUAAAUGAAAAUGACAUCCGGGUUUGAGUAACAUAGGACUUCACUCUUUUUUUUUUUUUAACAAAAAAGAAAAAAAAGUAAACAUAAAGUUUACUUUAGUGAAUGCAACUCAGGCAUAUUAUAUAUUUGUUAGCAUUGGUCAUCUCCUAAUUCUUUUACUUUGCAUAGGAAGUCUUAAUAUUAAUUUCUAUAUAUGGCUUUUACUUGAUAAUAUAUGAAGAUUAUUUUUAAGAUGUUUUACAUGUAUUGUCUUAUAUUCCAAUCUGGCAUUUUGAAAUAUGAAUUUCUCUGUCAAAGGUUCUUCAUAAAGAUAUUUUCUUAUUACGGUUUAAUUUGUUUUUUCUUGUUAGCAUGGUUGUGUUAUCUUUGCUAUGCUUUCAGGACAUCAAAAGAACUCAAAGGUGGUUUCUCCUAUCAAACCUGAAGAGCGAAAAUCGUCGUCACUUAUUGAAGUGCCUGCAUUAUUAGAAGAACUGAAAGAAAAGACAGACAAUUUCGGAUCAAAUGCUUUAAUUGGGGAGGGUUCCUACGGAAGAGUUUAUUAUGCAAACUUGAAUGAUGGAAAAACUGUGGCUGUUAAAAAGCUUGAUGUUUCCACUUAGCCCAAUACUCUUUUGUCUUAGAUUUGUUUAUAUUCUGAUAUGUAAUUUGGGGUCUUUUACAGGAUGCUGAAGAGUGUUGGACACAACUUUUAUACACCCUUUCUCAGUCUCUUCGACCAGCUGGUUCUAGUUCAUUGGCAGGGAAGAGGAAAGCAAAGUUUUAUAAAUACUGGAGCAAUGUAAUUUAGCAUUGGCAGUAUCAUCUAUAUCUUACAUCCCCUAACCGUCGAAGCUCACUGAAUUGAUAUGCACACAAGAUUGGCUGCAGAUGCAAUCAGAUGGUUUGAUUGUGGCAUGUUUAUGUUAAAAUAUAUCGACUUCUAUAGCAGAGGCUUAAGUCUUUGUUUUGAGCAGGAACACAUGCCCUAUUUUCGUUUAAGGACCGCCAAGGAAAUUCUGAAACUAAAAGCUGAUUGAUCGGAUGUGUAUGCCAGCUUUCAUCAACUACUUUCGAAGGCCUUACUAGGAAUUGAAAUGGUGUGCAAAGAGAUUGCUUCUUCUGAUCUGAUUUUUCAAUAUUAAUACUGGACAAAGUAUGGAUAUAUCUUGUCAGUUGCAUUUACUGCUGUUAGUAAAAUAGGAUUCUCUUCUUAGGAUCUUAGUUUCUUCACUUGUAUUAGACUCAACAAUGGCUUGCAUUGCAUUGCAUUGGUGUUGAUUUUACAAUUUUUAAUUUUUAUUAAUUAUUUACGUUUUCUCA